Molecule: long non-coding RNA, 278 nt
Filed under: Parus major (Great Tit)
Lineage: Eukaryota; Metazoa; Chordata; Aves; Passeriformes; Paridae
Description: lncRNA (ENSPMJG00000002355.1)
Source: RNAcentral
GUGUGUCUGGAGCAUUGUAGGAUUGCAGGAAAAGGCUUCCCUGGCACAUGGUGGGGGCUGGGAUGCAGCUGAGAGCAAUAAUGAAAGAAGAUAUUUUUGCAGUGAACUCAAGCCAGCAAUAUGCAAAAGCCUGAAUGACCUGACAGUGCUUCAUGAUUUCUGGAAAAUGAGUGGGAAAUACUGAACACAGUGCCAGCUCUAAGAACAGAAGUUCAGCAAUUAGAGGAAAAGAUCAGUGGUUUUUAUAGCAGGCUACAAUACAAGCUGGAAGGACUGGA